RNAcentral lists this microRNA precursor (136 nucleotides) under Hordeum vulgare. RNAcentral's name for it is "microRNA MIR1122". It matches the Rfam family "MIR1120/MIR1122 microRNA precursor family". Lineage: Eukaryota; Viridiplantae; Streptophyta; Magnoliopsida; Poales; Poaceae. The record is from RNAcentral.
UUUCUAUUCUUUUCGUUUCAAAAUUUUUGUCUUAGAUUUAUUUAGAUAUAAAUGUAUUUAGUCGUGUUUUAGUAUUUUGAUACAUUCAUUUUUAAAUAAAUCUAAGACAAGAAUUUUAGGACGGAGGAAGUACUUU